UACAGAGGGGGCAAGCGUUAUUCGGAAUUAUUGGGCGUAAAGGGCGCGUAGGCGGUUUUUUAAGUCGGAUGUGCAAUCCCUGGGCUCAACCCAGGAACUGCAUUUGUGACUGCAAGGCUAGAGUACGGCAGAGGGGGGUAGAAUUCCACGUGUAGCAGUGAAAUGCGUAGAUAUGUGGAGGAAUACCGAUGGCGAAGGCAGCCCCCUGGGUCGAUACUGACGCUCAUGCACGAAAGCGUGGGGAGCAAACAGG
RNAcentral lists this ribosomal RNA (253 nucleotides) under uncultured bacterium. RNAcentral describes it as "partial 16S ribosomal RNA". It matches the Rfam family "Bacterial small subunit ribosomal RNA", at positions 524 to 776 of the family's 1533-position model. The record is from RNAcentral.